AUACUUACCUGGCAGGGGAGCAUACCAUGAUCACGAAGGUGGUUUUCCCAGGGCAAGGCUUAUCCAUUGCACUUUGAAUGUGCUGACCCCUGCGAUUUCCCCAAAUGUGGGAAACUCGACUGCAUAAUUUGUGGUAGUGGGGGACUCCGUUCACGCUUUCCCCUG
Aotus nancymaae (Ma's night monkey) is the source of this 165-nucleotide small nuclear RNA. Its record names the gene U1. It matches the Rfam family "U1 spliceosomal RNA". From Rfam's summary of the family: U1 is a small nuclear RNA (snRNA) component of the spliceosome (involved in pre-mRNA splicing). The record is from Ensembl. NCBI's taxonomy places the organism in Eukaryota, Metazoa, Chordata, Mammalia, Primates, Aotidae.